UCAGCAAAAGAAACUCCAGAACCCAAAGCAAAUUUUCCUGCCCGGUACAAGGAGGACAUAUUUUCACUGACUGUUUCCAUGGAAAUAAAUCGGAGGCAUUACUUUUGGAGCAACUAUGCGGCCCAAGAUAAUUUGUCUUGACUCAGUGUGAUCCAGGCAAGCCAAAAGGUUGCACACCCAUGAAAUAAGCCAAGAAAGUACAUGGACUGCAAGAAAAUUCUUUUUGGUCUACUGACAUCCCUGUUUAAUUAAUAAGUGCUGUCACACAUUCAGCAAGCACGCAUAUCGCUCUUGGUCUUGGUAAGAGCCACUCUCUUUUCCAGUGCUGUGAGUCACUCAGUCUUCACAAGGUUUUGUCCUCUUCACCAGUCACAAAAAAAUAUUUGUUUGGAAUUUGGUAAACUGAAGUGGAAGUGUCCUCGCUGCUGAGAAUUUACACUGGGACCAGAAUGAUGCCUGCUCUUCCCUCACACAAGGAUGCAGAGCCUAUCGAAGGAAGGGAAUUACGAAAUGACAAGGUUUGAGCUCCCUCUGAAGGAUCAGCCAUUUCAUUUAGCUGCUGUGUACUUAUUGCUGGAAUAUACCUGGGAUGGUUUGAGUGACAGUCUUCAUUUCUGGUUCGCUUCCAUGAAGAUGCAAGGGUGAGAAGUAUUGCGGAGUUAAGAGAAGAGAAAGUCUCUCCAUCUCUCUGUCGUCCUGCUCAGACCCGAGAUUUAGACAAGGAAGAAUGGAAGAUUCGCUCGAAGGCGGCCUGAGAGUCUGCUGAGAAAGGAUGAGCCACAGCAGAGGAGGAGGAGAUUCAAGAAGGAAACAACAACCCAAGAGCAAGGAGGUUGUGAAUCAGCCAAACCUCUGGGAGACAUCAUGCACAGAGGAGGAGACACCAAGACUCCAUGCUCAGGAAAACUGAUAUACUUCUGUUAGUAGUCUUGGGUCUCAUUUGCAUUACCAUGCAUUACCAGUACUUAGAGAUAUGUUUAACUUUAAGGACAUGGGUGAUUGUGGUCUGAAAGCAGCAAUGUGGUUUUAUCUGCUUAUGUGCUCUAUAUUCUCAAAGGGAAACUGUUCCCACUUUUCAGAAACAAAACCUAAGAAUGUGACUGGGAAAAUGAGCCUGGGACAGAAAAAUCAGACCAACAGUCUAAAAGAUAUAAAAUAAAAUAAAAUAAAAUAAAAUAAAAUAAAAUAAAAUAAAAUAAAAUAAAAUAAAAUAAAAUAUGUCACAGCCUAUUGUAAAAAAAAAUCAUUUCUAACUAAGAAAAAGUGACUUGCAGGACUAAUUUGAGAAUAUAUUUGUCAUAAGCCAGCUAAGAUGAGCCAAGCUUUUUAAAUCAGUCCAUCCCUGCCUCCUUUGGCUGGUAGCAAGGAGAAAGAAACUUGGUGUGCAGCUGGAAGACUGAUGCCAAGCUAAUCGAAUGUGCGUGCAGAGGGAGCAGCAGAUGACAAGGACAGGAUUGGCAGGAUGUCGCCAGAUUGUUUGAUUAGCAAUGGGAUGGCUCAAGUGCUCCCUGUCCUACCAGGAACUUGGCACAGAUGCUGACACGUGACUCAGUCCCCAAGCAGUUGUUCUCUGCAGCACUGUUUGAAAAAGGGCUCUGCUUCUCCAAAAACAGGAAGGGUAUUAACAAAAACAAAAACAAGGAUGAGAAAGAAAGGCUAUGAGACUGUGUCUAUAAAUGUUAGAUUCUGGCUAUUCUUUCUGUUAAUACCACCCAAACUUCAGCUGAAAUGAAAUAUUUGACUUGGGAUAAAAAUCAGAUAGUCUGAAAUUUAACCCAGCAAAAGUAAUAUGAGGGAGCAUUGAUGAGUGGGUAUUUUCCUUCCCCUACAGUUUCGCCAUCCAUGUUAUUGCUUUCUUUCUGUGUGUCAGUUUAGACCAACCUGCCACAAAAAAAAAUAUUAUUUUUUUCCUAGGAGACAAAUAUGGUGAGAAAGGCAGCAACACUAUCUUCUAACACCAAAGUUGCAAAUCUAUUCUGGUGAAGCUAAGUGAAAAAUGAAGCAAACUGAUUUCAGAGACAUAUACGUAGGCCUAUGGAGAAAGCCCCAAGCAUAAAAACUAGCUCUCAGCACGAAACAUGGGUAGCAAUUGCCUUUGAUUACUAACAGCAGGUUUUUCAGUCUAUGGACAAAUGUGUAGAUUAUGAGCAAUUUUCUGAGGCAUCUAAAUCAGCAUAUUCAGAUAGAAACAAAUUUUUGAUGCUAUGGCAUCACUGCUACAGUCCAAAUUACAUUGCGCAGAUGUACAUGUAAAUAUCUUACUUGCACUAAAGGCAGCUCAGAAAAAUCAGGGAAUCUGACAUCUCCCCUGAGAUUUUUAAGAUAGUUCAAAUGAUAAAAUAAGUAAGUUCCUCAGAAACAAGAUGGGUGUUGGUGACAGUUUGUACAUUCAGCACAACAAAUAAUCAGCUGCUAUGAAUUUGGAUAACCCUGUUAAAGCCAACAGAACAGAAACAGUUUUUAUCAAGUUACAGCUAGUCCAGAGCAUAUACAUGAGACUUGUACAUAACAAUACUGCAGAUAUAUGGAGAAACUGUAAUGCAGACAGCAGCUUUAUAGUGGGCUUUCAUAUGCCUAUAUACUUCUAAACUGUAUGUGUAACUACAUUCUUGUCAGUUCUUCAGCCUUUUCAGAUGGAUAUGUUACUUCUCUCUAACGUGUCAGUUUUCUGACUAACCUGUCAUAACAAUCUAUGACACCACUCUCUAACAGCUUACCACUGCUUUACAUGAAAUGUGAGGGUUUGUCUGCAGUCACACAUAGGAAUCAUAUUCCAAAAUAAGAGUGUGGGGGAGACGUCUGUAAGUAUAGAUGUAAGCGCAUACGUAUGUAUACGUAGACAGACACACAGAUCCAAAAUAUCUGCCUGUGAAUCAUUGGAAUUACAAUCACAGAGAAUGAAGCAGCACAAGAUGGGAUAUUUCUCCUGAGCUGCACACUGUUUCUCAGCUUUGUGGAAAACUCCUUUUAUGCUGUGACCACAAAUGAUGCACCAUCAGUGGAGUGAUACCGUGUUGCUGAGAAAUGAACUGCUUGUUUGAAUGGACUUUGCAUUCGUUAUAGAAAAGGAACAACUCCAGUUUUAGAUAGAUUCAUUUAUUUACUUUGCGCUGUUUCCAUGACUCAUAAUCCUUUUAAUAAAUCAAACUAAAGAACAUAACAUCAAAUCAGAGAAUCAUAGAAUCUUUAGAGUUGGAAGGAAUGCUUACAGGCCAAGGAGGUGCAAGGAGGUACAGGUUCUUGAUUUGAGUCCCUCUGGAACACUUGAAAACAUAAAACAUAAAAAUUGUUCAAAAUAUCAUCUUUCCAAAUUAAUAUGUGUUCUUGUUCUGUAUUGUGCACACCGACAUGACAUGAUUCCUGGAAUUUCCUGCUGAUAGAACAUUUUUCCAAAGAUGAGAAGAGAUCCAAAACUUUACAUUAGCAUAGUUCAAAUUCACAAGUCCAUGGCCUCAGCCUACAGACAAUGAUGCCCCAGUCUCACUUGCAGCUAUUUCCAUUAGACGAGUGUGGCUGAUGGGUCAGAAUGGAAAAACUCAUGGGAAAAAAGACAACUUAAAAUCCAAAAGAUAAUGUUGGAGGUUUUAUCUGUGCUUCUGACAAUACACGGCUGUUAACUCUACUAAUCUGGGCUUUCUCUAAGGGCUGGCAGGGAAUUCAACAUAACCAAAUCUACUCUCUCUGAGGUGCGGGAACUUUCUGGAGCUUAUAAUGAAAGUCUGGAUGCUCAUGGAAAUCAAAGCUGCAUGCUCCUGCCCACAGAAGAGACAGGCAGCAUUGCCACUGCCCUGUGGCCCCAGAAAUAGAAUGGAAAUCUUUGAGGGACCUAAGAGAGAGGACUACAGCGAACACACAAUCUGUGUUUCCUGUAAACUUCUUCAUUUUCCCUCCAUCCUACUUUCAAAUGAAAACAGUCCCUACUGUUCUGAUGUAGGGGAGAAGUCUUUCCUGAUACAUAGCUUAACCUUAAAUGCUUAAAAGAGAAGGCAAACAGGUCCCAGAAAGGCUUAUCUGCAUCACAGAGGACACUAGUACCUCCUACCCCUCUCUUUCCAGUUGAAACUUAUCUUGGAUGUUUCAGAAAAAAAAGAUGAAGAGAAAGAGAAAAACAGCCAAGCAUUGUGUAAGGAGGUGUGAAACAUGUUUCUGGCCUUUACUUUCAUUCUGUGCUACCAUCUCAAAAUCUUUUCCUUGUUUCUGGGCAUCCUGUGUGACCCUUGUAAUUACAGUGAAUGUCUCUCAGGCAACAUUAACCCCUGCCCUGAUCCAUCUCUAACAAUGAUUGCAUUAAAAACUUCACUGUGUCUGCAGCUAUUUAAUCAUUCAUCACCUGGAAAGUGGUACUGCUCUACUGCUCUGUGACUGUGGCCAUUAGUGGUGACAAGCAAGGUCUUCCUGAAAUUAAGAAUAUGACAGUAUGAGCUGGCUUAGAUUCGGCCUUUUACAGAUACAUCCAAUAAUGAAAACUCCUUCACAUCGGUACUGUCCAAAGCCCGCUGACGUCAGUGGAGAGAUCUGAUCUCAGUGGGCUUUAAAUCAGACUCUAUAGCUAAGGCUUCCAAAGCAGCUGGGGGGAUUCAGGCACGUAUCUUUCAUUAAAGUGAGGGUAUAUUAAAGCAAAUGGAAGAUAUGUGUCUGAAAUCCCCUAGACUGCUUUGAAAAUCUAAAAUACUGUGCAAGCUGUACAGCUUUCUCUAUAAAAAUAGCUGCCAAAUCUAGCUUUGGUAAAGGCAAUAGAACUGCAUUAAAAGAUCCGCAGAAAGGCCUGGUCCCUCUGAUCCUUUAGGAAAACAGAGAGAAGGAUGGCCAGAGUGCUUUAUUUUCAGCUUUAAACCGUUCCCACGUCAAAGACAUUUGCUCGAGCAAUUUAUGGGAAUGGCAUAGUAGCCAAAAGAAAAGUAAUGCUACUCUUGUCUACGUAGAUGUCACACUUAUAUGGCUCAUCAAGCUGGGAUCAGGACUGCAACAUCUCUCGUGGACAUUAAGGAAUAUUUGAUGUGGGUUUCUCCAUGAGCCUAUGUGCAAGACUGAUCUGGUUGCAAAUUCAUGUUGAUAAGGCUGAGCCCAAGACAGCACCACCAUCAUUCCAGCAGCUCCUCUCAGGAGAAGUCUUGGUACAGACCCUUCUCCUCCUGUCCAGCUUUCAUGGGGACACAGCACUGUACCUCAGCCCCACGUAAGAACUCCCUCUGUUUUCUGAGAAGCAGUGAGACAAGCCUUCUUUCCUAUAGCCCACAAUGACAAUCUACUUAUUAUUCAGACACAGCCUCGCCUAAUUACCUUGUUAUUUUGUGGCAGGCUAGAACAAGGUAGCACCAUUAAGUCAAGUGUCUUCAUUUUAGCCAUCCACUGCCUUCAUUCUUGAUUUAGAAGGCAGUGGCACAAGAGUGGUCUCAGUCACACACAUCCCAUACAGCUCAGGUUGUCGUGCCACUAGCUUACCUUGGUUGUGUAUCUGCUUAUAGACUUUUUUCUUUAUUUCUUGCAUUUUUGGACUACCAAGAACAAGUUACAUUCUGUUAGAGUGACAAAGAGUAAUUGCAUUUUAUGUGUUAUUUCUUGAUGGUAGAGGUACUUCAAACCUCAGAUUGAUUUCAGAUUUCAAAUAUCAGAAAGUUUGAUGCAGUCAGCUCAGGGUGUCCAAUUCUGACCUGUCUCCUGCAAACACAAUCAAAACCUUAUAAGACUCAGAGCUCAGACAAAUGAUAAGCCAAGUCCAGGGAUCUGCCCAUAGUUCAUAUUUUUAGUGCAGGAAGAAUUGACUCAAAGGGAAAAUUGAUGUACAAGAAGAUGUGAUAAAGCUGACGUCCAGAUAGCAUUUGCUCUGCUGAAAUGUUACAACCUGAGCAAGACAAUCUGUGAAAGAGGUAAUUGAGCAUUUGAAAAGCACCUGUUAAUGACGGGUAAGAUAACAACCCCGAGGAACCACCUGUCAGGGCAGGUGAUGAACUCUCCCUCUGAUCUGUUUCUUACUACAGUUUUCUCCAGGGAAACUGGUAGCACAUUCACAUGUCUUUCUAGAGAAAGUUCAUAAUAACAGAGGAUUUAAAUAAACAGAAGAUUGAUUUUAAUGGAAGGUGAAUCAUUUGUGUUUCUUUUUUCUUUUCUCGUGCAGCUGAAAUGUUUUAUCUAGCUUAGAUUAUGAGGAAUGUAAAUAAAUUUAUGUUGAAUGUUAAAUAAACAUUUGCUUUCUUUUUUCCAA
Long non-coding RNA from Gallus gallus (chicken), 6202 nucleotides. The record is from Ensembl. NCBI's taxonomy places the organism in Eukaryota, Metazoa, Chordata, Aves, Galliformes, Phasianidae.